UCCAGACUCCUACGGGAGGCAGCAGUGAGGAAUAUUGGGCAAUGGAGGCAACUCUGACCCAGCCAUGCCGCGUGAGUGAAGAAGGUUUUCGGAUUGUAAAGCUCUUUCGGAUGUGACGAUGAUGACGGUAGCAUCUAAAGAAGCCCCGGCUAACUCCGUGCCAGCAGCCGCGGUAAUACGGAGGAUGCGAGCGUUAUCCGGAUUUAUUGGGUUUAAAGGGUGCGUAGGUGGAAUGCCAAGUCAGCGGUAAAAGCGCGGGGCUCAACCUCGCUCCGCCGUUGAAACUGGCGUUCUUGAGUGGGCGAGAAGUAUGCGGAAUGCGUGGUGUAGCGGUGAAAUGCAUAGAUAUCACGCAGAACUCCGAUUGCGAAGGCAGCAUACCGGCGCCCAACUGACGCUGAAGCACGAAAGCGUGGGUAUCGAACAGGAUUAGAUACCCUGGUAGA
Molecule: ribosomal RNA, 446 nt
Filed under: uncultured bacterium
Lineage: Bacteria
Description: bacterial SSU rRNA
Rfam family: Bacterial small subunit ribosomal RNA
Source: RNAcentral